This 254-nucleotide long non-coding RNA is filed under the name Cicer arietinum (chickpea). Its description in RNAcentral is "long non-coding RNA (CARI_LNC002593)". Lineage: Eukaryota; Viridiplantae; Streptophyta; Magnoliopsida; Fabales; Fabaceae. The record is from RNAcentral.
AAAAUAAAAUAAUACAUUUCAACAGUUCUAGAGAAACAUCAAUAACUCAUGUAAAAUUUUUCAUCUAUUAGUUGAAGAAGAAAAUAGUGUGUAUACUAUCUCCAAUAAUUCAUGUUAGCAAUAUGUUCACGACUUGUCUUGUGAUUUCUCAAUUUAUAACUAAUAUUUCUCAUUUGGGCAAUGUGCUCACUUUUUGUCUCGUAAUUUCUCAAUUUAUAAUUAAUAUUUCUCUCAUCCUUAGUAUUUUCGUUAGC